RNAcentral lists this ribosomal RNA (390 nucleotides) under Ensifer meliloti. Its description in RNAcentral is "Sinorhizobium meliloti bacterial SSU rRNA". It matches the Rfam family "Bacterial small subunit ribosomal RNA", at positions 21 to 441 of the family's 1533-position model. Lineage: Bacteria; Pseudomonadati; Pseudomonadota; Alphaproteobacteria; Hyphomicrobiales; Rhizobiaceae. The record is from RNAcentral.
GGCUCAGAACGAACGCUGGCGGCAGGCUUAACACAUGCAAGUCGAGCGCCCCGCAAGGGGAGCGGCAGACGGGUGAGUAACGCGUGGGAAUCUACCCUUUUCUACGGAAUAACGCAGGGAAACUUGUGCUAAUACCGUAUGAGCCCUUCGGGGGAAAGAUUUAUCGGGAAAGGAUGAGCCCGCGUUGGAUUAGCUAGUUGGUGGGGUAAAGGCCUACCAAGGCGACGAUCCAUAGCUGGUCUGAGAGGAUGAUCAGCCACAUUGGGACUGAGACACGGCCCAAACUCCUACGGGAGGCAGCAGUGGGGAAUAUUGGACAAUGGGCGCAAGCCUGAUCCAGCCAUGCCGCGUGAGUGAUGAAGGCCCUAGGGUUGUAAAGCUCUUUCACCG